GAGUUUGAUCAUGGCUCAGAUUGAACGCUGGCGGCAGGCCUAACACAUGCAAGUCGGGCGGUAGAGAGAAGCUUGCUUCUCUUGAGAGCGGCGGACGGGUGAGUAAUGCCUAGGAAUCUGCCUGGUAGUGGGGGAUAACGCUCGGGAAACGGACGCUAAUACCGCAUACGUCCUACGGGAGAAAGCAGGGGACCUUCGGGCCUUGCGCUAUCAGAUGAGCCUAGGUCGGAUUAGCUAGUUGGUGAGGUAAUGGCUCACCAAGGCGACGAUCCGUAACUGGUCUGAGAGGAUGAUCAGUCACACUGGAACUGAGACACGGUCCAGACUCCUACGGGAGGCAGCAGUGGGGAAUAUUGGACAAUGGGCGAAAGCCUGAGUCCAGCCAUGCCGCGUGUGUGAAGAAGAUCUUCGGAUUGUAAAGCACUUUAAGUUGGGA
RNAcentral lists this ribosomal RNA (436 nucleotides) under uncultured bacterium. RNAcentral's name for it is "bacterial SSU rRNA". It matches the Rfam family "Bacterial small subunit ribosomal RNA", at positions 9 to 445 of the family's 1533-position model. The record is from RNAcentral.